GUAAACUUCAUUUGGCAGCACAUAUACUAAAAUUGGAACGAUACAGAGAAGAUUAGCAUGGCCCCUGCACAAGGUAUGACAAGGGGGUGGGAAGAUGGCAUAAUGGUU
Molecule: small nuclear RNA, 108 nt
Organism: Protopterus annectens (West African lungfish)
Lineage: Eukaryota; Metazoa; Chordata; Ceratodontiformes; Protopteridae
Source: RefSeq, a predicted model, not a curated record